UGAGGAAUAUUGGUCAAUGGGCGCAAGCCUGAACCAGCCAUCCCGCGUGCAGGAAGACGGCCCUAUGGGUUGUAAACUGCUUUUCCAGGGGGAGAAUUUUUCUGUCGUGACAGGAAUUGACGGUACCCUGGGAAUAAGCAUCGGCUAACUCCGUGCCAGCAGCCGCGGUAAUACGGAGGAUGCGAGCGUUAUCCGGAUUUAUUGGGUUUAAAGGGUGCGUAGGCGGAUUGAUAAGUCAGUGGUGAAAACCUGCAGCUUAAAUGUAGA
Molecule: ribosomal RNA, 267 nt
Filed under: uncultured bacterium
Lineage: Bacteria
Description: partial 16S ribosomal RNA
Rfam family: Bacterial small subunit ribosomal RNA
Source: RNAcentral